This 358-nucleotide ribosomal RNA is filed under the name uncultured soil bacterium. RNAcentral's name for it is "bacterial SSU rRNA". It matches the Rfam family "Bacterial small subunit ribosomal RNA", at positions 26 to 383 of the family's 1533-position model. The record is from RNAcentral.
AGAUUGAACGCUGGCGGCAUGCCUUACACAUGCAAGUCGAACGGCAGCACGGGAGCAAUCCUGGUGGCGAGUGGCGAACGGGUGAGUAAUAUAUCGGAACGUGCCCAGUCGUGGGGGAUAACGCAGCGAAAGCUGUGCUAAUACCGCAUACGAUCUCUGGAUGAAAGCGGGGGACUCGCAAGGGCCUCGCGCGAUUGGAGCGGCCGAUAUCAGAUUAGCUAGUUGGUGGGGUAAAAGCUCACCAAGGCGACGAUCUGUAGCUGGUCUGAGAGGACGACCAGCCACACUGGAACUGAGACACGGUCCAGACUCCUACGGGAGCAGCAGUGGGGAAUAGUUGGACAAUGGGACGAAAGCC